RNAcentral lists this transfer RNA (82 nucleotides) under Nematostella vectensis (starlet sea anemone). It matches the Rfam family "tRNA". From Rfam's summary of the family: Transfer RNA (tRNA) molecules are approximately 80 nucleotides in length. Their secondary structure includes four short double-helical elements and three loops (D, anti-codon, and T loops). Lineage: Eukaryota; Metazoa; Cnidaria; Anthozoa; Actiniaria; Edwardsiidae. The record is from Rfam by way of RNAcentral.
GGUAGCAUGGCCGAGCGGUCUAAGGCGCUGGUUUUAGGCACCAGUCCCGAAAGAGGCGUGGGUUCGAAUCCCACCGCUGCCA